Tympanuchus pallidicinctus (lesser prairie-chicken) is the source of this 2583-nucleotide long non-coding RNA. RefSeq lists it as uncharacterized. The record is from RefSeq and is a predicted model, not a curated record. The transcript is spliced from 4 exons. Lineage: Eukaryota; Metazoa; Chordata; Aves; Galliformes; Phasianidae.
AUAUAUAUAUAUAUAUAUCAUUAUGACCAUACCUUUCAAUCAGACCUCUGGAGAGAGUAGGCAAAGAACGGAGAUGAGCACUGGGUGCUUGAGAUAGUGUAGCCCAAGAGAUAAACAGCAGGACAGAUGUAUCAGAUAUUACCUGCUUGACAACCAGAAUGUUUGCCAGGCUACUGGUGUAACAUCAAGUGAGGAUUGUUUUCAUAUGCUGGUGAUGACAUCUCCUAUGCUCCUCCAAAGAAGCAACAACAACAACAACAAAAGGAGGCACCGCAGAGGCUGAAGUGCACAUGGGUGCUGCAAGCAACAGGAAACUGAGCAGAUCUUCACAUCACGGAGCUUGUUUCUGCAGUGGCAGCUACUUAUCCUCAUGAGUGUCAACUUAAAAAGCAGCCUGCCCUACCAGCUUGAAAGAGACAACAUUAACUCUCUAACGACACUAUUUUGUUUAAUGCCCUUGUAAUAUCCAGUAGAAUCCAGCAGAAGACAUGUCUAUGGACAGGUAGGUCAGCAGCUGGAUGGCCUCUUCCCAUGCCGUGAGAUGGGCUGUGCUGGCAUGUGCACAGCAGGUAGGGGUACUCCCAGGACCAGCACUUUUCUCUCCUACUUGGGGACCCCCACAACAUCCUGGGGGCUGGUGGCCAUGAACGAAGAGCAUGCAGGAACCGUCCUUGGGGUUUAGCCAUUGAGUUCUCAUUCCUGGCAAAGUUCCCCGUUUCUUCGUUGUAACCUGGGUGUCAUUGCUUGCCAGGCUGCAGAAGUCCUCAGAUCAGAGGAAGCUCUUCUGUGAAAUAUCUAUAUGAACCAGCCUUUGAACUUCCCUAAUACUGGAGUUAUUCCUGUCUGAGGAUUUGCUCUGGGCCCCUCUCAGUGUUGACUUUUUCUUGCUUUUGGACUAUCUAGGGCAAUAAAGAUUUUUCAACCCUUAAAAGCACCUACUUUUGGAUACCAAAGAAGACCAUUCUGAUCUACUUUUAGGAAAAUGGGUGGUAUGAGGACAAGUUUAAAGCUGUUUAUCCAAAUACUGUCCUUUGGCACUACUACAAAUAAAUUAAUUCUCAGUGUGCUGAUGUUUAUCAACCUUUCUGCUGACCUGCUAGCAAGUGAACAGUUCCUUUACAGACGACCAUUGAUUUGUUCAGCAAAUAGAGAUGAAAGCUUUAGAGAUGGACUGUUGCCUGUAUUUCUGCUCAACAUGCAAGAGGUUCCAGGGAUCUCCAUUUUGAAAAGGGCAGCAGUAUUCCUGAUGGGAAGAUUUUUUCUCACACACUGGCAAUUCUACAUUUUGCUGGAUCAGCUCCAGGAGAGACAAGUUAAUGCCCCGUGUAGUUUGUUUUCAUAUUGAGCAAACCCUGCUGAGAAACUGGAAAAUAGAGAUUUAAACUGAUAAGCUUGCAAAAGACAGCUGACUCAUCAAGUGUCAUGAAACAAGGAUUCCCACACUGUGAUACAUCUGAAAGUGUUGAACUUGUACGAGCCUAAUCCCCCAUCCUUCUCCUUGAGGUGUUGGGGAAUCACAAGAUGCUCCUUCUUGGUUAGGGGAGACUUCUACCUCCCCAUCACAGUAUGAGGCCUUCCUUCUAGCAACUGUGCCCGACCACAUGAAGAUGACCCAAACCACAGCACUGGUGUUAUGUUUGCAAAUGGAGAUGAGAUUAGACAGACCAGCAAGCUCCAUACCUGCUUUGGAUGAGAACAGGAUCGUUGUACGUGACACUACUUAAUUUAGAUUUGAUCAAAGUUCAGAGUGCGAUUUUUGGAGUCAAACAUGCGAAAGAACUUAAUUCAGAAGUAGUUUACAAGGAUUACUAGAUUGCUACUUUGAAACAGACUGAGUAAAUACUAAUCUCACUUUGCACCAGGAAAAGGCUGAAAUUAUAAAAGUGGGUUUGGAUCUUGUCUGAAGCAUAGUCUGAAUCUCAGCAAAAGGGUAUACUACCAACAUCUCUUUUUCUUGACCUUGCUGGAGCAAACUCUCAACUCUCGUGACGAGGGAUAAUGUUUGGGUCACAGUCAACGCUAGGCUUUGCUUUGCAAAUGAGCAAAAUGUCUACUGGGGCAUCUUGCUUCAGCAUGAGGAGCUUGGUGAAGAUGACCACUCACGUUCUGGUGUUUGUAGUUCCUCCCAAGAAGGACACACACUUUCCAGCAGGCGCUUAUACAUGGCACAAAGACCUGAGCAGAUGAUGGGAAAAGGCACCAUCACUUCUUUUCUCGACCGCAAGUCCCUUGGACGCCUCAAUGGAUACCAAUGCUUGGGUGCCAGGAGCUAUGCUGCUCAUCCUGAGCCCAGCUGUCCUGCUCAUCCAAGGGCUUCCUUUGGCAUCUUUCUUGGUAGCCAGAGAAGGGAGUACUCACAACAACACUGCUCGGUAAACAUUCAUUUAAUGGAAAAAAAUGGAUAGUUUUCUUUUGUUGGAAAUUUUUCAUGCAUUAUUUUUGUUUAGGAAAACAUGAUAUCAUUCUGAUGGUAAGAAAACAAACCAGCAUGCCAGCUUUCUGUUAAGCCUAAAAUAUCACCUCCUAUUUUUCAUUUAGGAAUAUAAAAGAAGAAAGUGGAGAAAUAAAAUAACCAAGACCCAA